This 103-nucleotide small nuclear RNA is filed under the name Punica granatum (pomegranate). The record is from RNAcentral. Lineage: Eukaryota; Viridiplantae; Streptophyta; Magnoliopsida; Myrtales; Lythraceae.
GUCUUUUCGGAGACAUCCGAUAAAAUUGGAACGAUACAGAGAAGAUUAGCAUGGCCCCUCCGCAAGGAUGACACGCACAAGUCGAGAAUAGAAGAAAAAUAUA